CUAUCAUUAGGUCGAAGUUUCUCGUCAAGUUGAUUGAAAACAAUGCUUUGUUAUAUUUUCAAAUUUCAUUGGCUAUAAGUUAAAUAAGAUUUAAUUGAACAAGAAAAAAACUACAUGAGCUAAUAAUACAUGAUAUUUUGGUGAACAAAGAGACCACGUAUAAUCCUAAUUCUAACAGAAUAACACACAUGUAGAUUACAUCAGCCAUGGCUUUGAAAUUUCAGGUGUCAUUGACUAGCUUUGGCCUGGAUGUUUUAGGAUCAAUUUCAACUCUGAGACCAAUUUC
This 286-nucleotide long non-coding RNA is filed under the name Capsella grandiflora. RNAcentral's name for it is "long non-coding RNA (CGRA_LNC000966)". Lineage: Eukaryota; Viridiplantae; Streptophyta; Magnoliopsida; Brassicales; Brassicaceae. The record is from RNAcentral.